CACCGAUCGUUGGCGACUCAGGCUCCUCCAUGGGAGCAGUACCCUGAGUCGCCAACAAUCGGUGCC
RNAcentral lists this microRNA precursor (66 nucleotides) under Chrysemys picta bellii (western painted turtle). RNAcentral's name for it is "Cpi-Mir-9585_pre stem-loop". The record is from RNAcentral. Lineage: Eukaryota; Metazoa; Chordata; Testudines; Emydidae.